Molecule: transfer RNA, 73 nt
Filed under: Stegodyphus mimosarum
Lineage: Eukaryota; Metazoa; Arthropoda; Arachnida; Araneae; Eresidae
Rfam family: tRNA
About the family: Transfer RNA (tRNA) molecules are approximately 80 nucleotides in length. Their secondary structure includes four short double-helical elements and three loops (D, anti-codon, and T loops). Further hydrogen bonds mediate the characteristic L-shaped molecular structure. tRNAs have two regions of fundamental functional importance: the anti-codon, which is responsible for specific mRNA codon recognition, and the 3' end, to which the tRNAs corresponding amino acid is attached (by aminoacyl-tRNA synthetases). tRNAs cope with the degeneracy of the genetic code in two manners: having more than one tRNA (with a specific anti-codon) for a particular amino acid; and 'wobble' base-pairing, i.e. permitting non-standard base-pairing at the 3rd anti-codon position.
Source: Rfam by way of RNAcentral
GCCUUCGUGGUGUAAUGGUCAGCACGCUGGGCGCGUAUUCUAAAGAUCCGUGGUUCGAGUCCUGGCGAGGGCA